CUCAAACUGUAGCUCCUCUUAACCACUAUCUGUCCCAAAACUUAAACUGUAGCUCCUCUUAACCACUAUCUGUCCCAAAACUUAAACUGUAGCUCCUCUUAACCACUAUCUGUCCCAAAACUUAAACUGUAGCUCCUCUUAAACACUAUCUGUCCCAAAACUCAAACUGUAGCUCCUCUUAAACACUAUCUGUCCCAAAACUUAAACUGUAGCUCCUCUUAACCACUAUCUGUCCCAAAACUCAAACUGUAGCUCCUCUUAACCACUAUCUGUCCCAAAACUCAAACUGUAGCUCCUCUUAACCACUAUCUGUCCCAAAACUCAAACUGUAGCUCUUCUUAAACACUAUCUGUCCCAAAACUCAAACUGUAGCUCCUCUUAAACACUAUCUGUCCCAAAACUCAAACUGUAACUAUCUGUCCCUUAACUAAAACUGUAGCUCCUCUUAAACACUAUCUGUCCCUUAACUAAAACUGUAGCUCCUCUUAAACACUAUCUGUCCCAAAACUAAAACUGUAGCUCCUCUUAACCACUAUCUGUCCCAAAACUCAAACUGUAACAUCUGUCCCUUAACUAAAACUGUAGCUCCUCUUAACCACUAUCUGUCCCAAAACUCAAACUGUAAUCAUCUGUCCCUUAACUAAAACUGUAGCUCCUCUUAACCACUGUCUGUCCCAAAACUAAAACUGUAGCUCCUUUUAACCACUAUCUGUCCCAAAACUGUAACUAUCUGUCCCAAACUAAAACUGUAGCUCCUCUUAAACACUAUCUGUCCCAAAACUAAAACUGUAGUUCCUCUUAACCACUAUCUGUCCCAAAACUCAAACUGUAACAAUCUGUCCCAAACUUAAAACUGGUGGUUCGACUUGGGAGUAGUUUCUGUUUGGACUAUCUGAAUGGUUGGCAAUGUUUUGAUUUUCGAGAUUGGAGGGUCAGGAAGAGCCAAAAAGUUAAUCUCAGCAACCAAAAACAUUUGCGACACACUCUUGGCUGUCUGUGUUGAGGUGCAGUACACAGAUUGGACCGCUAGAUGGGGGUGUUGUAUCGGCGGUAGUGAGUGGUUUACCCCUCUGAGAUUCUCUGCUAUUGGCUAGGCAAAGGCUACAGCUAAUAACGUUUACAGAAGAAACUUGUGGGCAGCGCUAGCUCCGAGCUAGUGUAGCAUGAUGCUAACGCUACAUGAUAUAAUAGCUAAAAUGCUAAUCCCCUAAUCUGCAGCUGGGGGAUGGAUGGAUGGAUGGACGAACAGAGAGCGUUAAUGAAAGAGGGAUGAUGUGGAAAUGACAUCACAGACAGAGCAAGCUGUCAUUGGUCAGGAUGAGUUAUUGACCUCUGACCCCUGUAGUCGUCCAAUUGACAUCCUGCGCUGGUGUGGGGGCAGGGUCAGCCCAUAUGUGGACUAUAAUCAACUCUGUGUGAUGCACUGCACUGCUCCGGACGUGGCUUUCUAGGAACCACACAAAACACACAGACAAGUACAGUACAUUCUCAGACUCUGUCUCACUCUGUGUGUGUGUCUCUCUCUCUGUGUGUGUCUCUCUCUCUGUGUGUGUCUCUCUCUCUCUCUGUGUGUAUCUCUCUCUCUCUGUGUGUCUCUCUCUCCGUGUGUCUCUCUCUCUCCGUGUGUCUCUCUCGCUGUGUCUCUCUCUCUCUCUGUGUCUCUCUCUCUCUCCGUGUGUCUCUCUCUCUGUGUCUCUCUCUCUCUCUGUGUGUGUGUCUCUCUCUCUCUUUCUCUGUCUCUCUCUCUCUCUCUCUGUGUGUUGCUGUCUGUCUGUCUCUCUCUCUCUCUCUCUCUCUGUCUCUCUCUCUCUCUCUCUCUCUCUCUCUCUGUGUCUCUGUGUCUCUCUCUGUGUCUCUCUCUCUGUGUCUCUCUCUCUGUGUCUCUCUCUCUCUGUCUCUCUCUCUCUCUCUCUGUGUGUCUCUCUCUCUCUCUCUCUCUGUUGGUUUAGGGCCAGUCUAGUUCCCUGUAGUAUUGGUUAAGGCUAUGUCUCAAAUGGCAGCCUAUUCCCUUUAUAGUGCACUACAUUUGACCAGAUCCCUAUGUGCCCUGGAUAAAAGUAGUGCACUAUGUAGGGUUCUACUUGGGAUGCUGAUUAAGUCAAUAAGUACCUAAAAAUAAUCCUCCUCCCCCCUCCUGUUCAGUUGCCAUUAGAGAGAUGGAUUAGGAGACCAUAUACAGAUUCUAUAUUAUUAUUAUUUAUUUUUUUAAAUCGUGUGUGUGUGUGUGUGUGUGUGUGUGUGUGUGUGUUAAUCCCCGGGGUUGACGGCUGCUUUUUGGUCUCUAAGCUGUUCUCAUCUCUACUAUCUCUGCUACAGUGAAGCUCACAGCCAACGAGAGAGAGGCAGAGAGUGUUUUCCCCUCUUCUCUUUCCCUCUCUGUCCUUUCCUCUAAUCCCCCCCCUCCCCAGUCUCUCUCCCUCCUCUCUAUUUUUCUCUCGGUGACAGGUCUCUCCCUCCUCUCUAUUUUUCUCUAGGUGCCAGGUCUCUCUCUCCUUUUCUCUCGGUGCCAGGUCUCUCCCUCCUCUCUUUUUCUCUAGGUGCCAGGUCUCUCCCUCCUCUCUCUUUUUCUCUCGGUGACAGGUCUCUCCCUCCUCUCUCUUUUUAUCUUGGUGACAGGUCUCUCUCUCCUCUCUUGCACUAUAUAGAGAAUAGGGCUCUGGUCUAAAGUAGUGCACUAUAUAGAGAAUAGGGCUCUGGUCUAAAGUAGUGCACUAUAUAGAGAAUAGGGCUCUGGUCUAAAGUAGUGCACUAUAUAGAGAAUAGGGCUCUGGUCUAAAGUAGUGCACUAUAUAGAGAAUAGGGCUCUGGUCUAAAGUAGUGCCACUAUAUAGAGAAUAGGGCUCUGGUCUAAAGUAGUGCACUAUAUAGAGAAUAGGGCUCUGGUCUAAAGUAGUGCACUAUAUAGAGAAUAGGGCUCUGGUCUAAAGUAGUGCACUAUAUAGAGAAUAGGGCUCUGGUCUAAAGUAGUGCACUAUAUAGAGAAUAGGGCUCUGGUCUAAAGUAGUGCACUAUAUAGGGAAUAGGGCUCUGGUCUAAAGUAGUGCACUAUAUAGAGAAUAGGGCUCUGGUCUAAAGUAGUGCACUAUAUAGGGAAUAGGGCUCUGGUCUAAAGUAGUGCACUAUAUAG
This is a long non-coding RNA of Oncorhynchus tshawytscha (Chinook salmon), 3127 nucleotides long. The record is from Ensembl. NCBI's taxonomy places the organism in Eukaryota, Metazoa, Chordata, Actinopteri, Salmoniformes, Salmonidae.